UACGUAGGGUGCAAGCGUUAAUCGGAAUUACUGGGCGUAAAGCGUGCGCAGGCGGCUGGUCAAGUCCGAUGUGAAAUCUCCCGGCUCAACUGGGAAACUGCAUCGGAAACUGAUCGGCUUGAAGAUGGGAGAGGGUAGUGGAAUUCCCGGUGUAGUGGUGAAAUGCGUAGAUAUCGGGAGGAACACCAGUGGCGAAGGCGACUACCUGGCCCAUUCUUGACGCUGAGGCGCGAAAGCUAGGGGAGCGAACGGG
Molecule: ribosomal RNA, 253 nt
Filed under: uncultured bacterium
Lineage: Bacteria
Description: partial 16S ribosomal RNA
Rfam family: Bacterial small subunit ribosomal RNA
Source: RNAcentral